GACGAACGCUGGCGGCGUGCUUAACACAUGCAAGUCGAACGAAGUGGCGAACGGGUGAGUAACGCGUAAUCAACCUGCCCUUCAGAGGGGGACAACAGUUGGAAACGACUGCUAAUACCGCAUACUGAAGGAGGGGAUUGCGUCUGAUUAGCUAGUUGGAGAGGUAACGGCUCACCAAGGCGAUGAUGGGUAGCCGGCCUGAGAGGGUGAUCGGCCACAAGGGGACUGAGACACGGCCCUUACUCCUACGGGAGGCAGCAGUGGGGAAUAUUGGACAAUGGACCAAAGUCUGAUCCAGCAAUUCUGUGUGCACGAUGAAGUUUUUCGGAAUGUAAAGUGCUUUCAGUUGGGAAGCGGUACCAACAGAAGAAGUGACGGCUAAAUACGUGCCAGCAGCCGCGGUAAUAC
RNAcentral lists this ribosomal RNA (408 nucleotides) under uncultured bacterium. RNAcentral's name for it is "partial 16S ribosomal RNA". It matches the Rfam family "Bacterial small subunit ribosomal RNA", at positions 28 to 526 of the family's 1533-position model. The record is from RNAcentral.